RNAcentral lists this transfer RNA (64 nucleotides) under Amphinemura bulla. RNAcentral describes it as "tRNA-Arg". Lineage: Eukaryota; Metazoa; Arthropoda; Insecta; Plecoptera; Nemouridae. The record is from RNAcentral.
GAAUAAGAAGCGAUAAAUUGCAGUCAGUUUCGACCUGACCUUAGGUAAUUACUACCCCUAUUCU